Diospyros lotus (date-plum) is the source of this 1197-nucleotide long non-coding RNA. RefSeq lists it as uncharacterized. The transcript is spliced from 3 exons. The record is from RefSeq and is a predicted model, not a curated record. NCBI's taxonomy places the organism in Eukaryota, Viridiplantae, Streptophyta, Magnoliopsida, Ericales, Ebenaceae.
CCCAAAAAAAAAAAAUUACCCUUAUUCCUCUCUGUGUCUCUCUCUCUAAAAAUUACUAAAUCUUAUUCCUUCACUUAUAAGCUCAAGUGCUAAAGUAAUUUAAAUUUCUUGGAGUUGGAGGUCUAUUGGAAAGUUGUUACGUUCUAGUUGUGUUGUAAAUACCCUUUUAUUCAUUUGCAAAAUAUAAUUUAGGACCACCUACAUCCACGGAUUGCGUUCUCAUCCAAUGUGCCUCGACUUUCAUAAGCCUGCAAACUUUUGGUAUUUAUCCUUAUUGAUUGAAAAAUCAUGGGCUCUAGUUUUGAAAACAACUUCAUUGCAUAAAGAAUAAAAGGCAAGGGGAAGGCUGUGGACAAAUACGACCCGCUCCAACUCUCAUAGAGCGGUGAAUCUCGUGCUUGGGGAUGCUCUUUUAAUCUAGAUCAACCUUAAUGUUCAUCCUUGACUUCUUCCAACUUUUGGGGCAAGGUUAUUAUGGCAUGAAGGUGCACCAAGCAGUCACUAAUUCAGGAGCAAGGUAAGUUCAUUUUUGUCAUCUCCUCUCAGCUUUGUUGCCUUGGUUAGUAUGGAAAAGACUCCUACGCUUAUUUGUUUAUGAUAUUAAUGUUUUCUCGACACCCACCAUUUCUUUAUCAGGAGCGUCAGGUAUAUGUGAAUUGAGCAGUGGGAUGGGGGGGGCGGGGGGGGGGGGGGGGGGGGGGGGGCAGAUAAUUUUACAGGGAAGAUGGCCUCCCACUCAUUCAGGGCAAAGAAAAUCCUAAGAAUACACCUAGCAUUGUGCUCGCUGGCUUGGAAAUGAUUGAGACUGCAGGGUCUGCUGCCAGCAACUCUGGUCAGAAUGUUAAAACUAAUACGAGACAGUUCCAACAAUUCUCUGGAUCAAAGGUAAUAAUCUAGAAGCUGCCGUAGUUGCAUGAUGUUGAUUGGGAGCAUGAUGUUGAUUGGGAAGGGGUUGUAGUAUGGAACAGAGAGCGUGAAAGAGAAGAGUUCAGAAUGCAAUGGAAAAGAUGUGAUAUAUAUAUAUAUAUAUAUUUUUAUAUGCAUUAUUGAUUUAACAAAAGAUCAAUAUUUACACUCCUUUCAACGAUAAAGAUCAGCCUUUUCAAUUCAAUCUACAAGCAAGCAGACGAGACGACUUGAUCUAACCCAAUUCCCAAAUAAACGCGCCAAAAUAUAGAACCUCCUUCCAUCAAUCCA